UUUGUUUAGCUUUCUACUUCUAAUUGGUCCAUUCAUAAAUCUAUAUUUAUAACCAAAGUCGGUAUCCAAUACCUAAGUAGAACCUUGACUUUAAGAAAAAAAUUAUUUUAAAUCAUGAACAAAUUUGUAUUUGUAACCGAAACUUCACUAAGCUUCUUUGGUUAGCCUCUGCAAGAUGUUUCUCGCAGUUUCUUUCCAG
Molecule: long non-coding RNA, 199 nt
Filed under: Panax ginseng (ginseng)
Lineage: Eukaryota; Viridiplantae; Streptophyta; Magnoliopsida; Apiales; Araliaceae
Description: long non-coding RNA (PGIN_LNC007753)
Source: RNAcentral